Molecule: long non-coding RNA, 344 nt
Organism: Cynara cardunculus var. scolymus (artichoke)
Lineage: Eukaryota; Viridiplantae; Streptophyta; Magnoliopsida; Asterales; Asteraceae
Exons: 2
Source: RefSeq, a predicted model, not a curated record
CUCUUGUCUCGUAAUCUCUUCACAAUUUUACGCCGUCGGCUAGGGUUUUUAGCGUAACCAGAAGAAGCACAACAAACAGACGUUUUCCGGUCGCCAUGAGAGCCAAGUGGAAGAAGAAGAGAAUGAGGAGAUUGAAAAGGAAGCGCCGAAAGAUGAGGCAGAGAUCUAAGUAAUCUGUUCGUUGGAAAUAAUCUGCCAGCCUUUUUUGAAGGAAUCAUCAGUAUCGUGUCGGUCUCCGUUUCGUAUUUUCUGUUUGAACUUAUCGUAAUCAGUACUGUUUAGUUGAAUUAUUGUUUUUGGAUUAUGAGAUUUUAAUGAUAUGGGUUUAGAUUAACUUUUGCCAA